CAGUAGCCGCGGGAAUACAGAGGGUGCAAGCGUUAAUCGGAAUUACUGGGCGUAAAGUGCGCGUAGGUGGUUUGUUAAGUUGGAUGUGAAAUCCCCGGGCUCAACCUGGGAACUGCAUCCAAAACUGGCAAGCUAGAGUAUGGUAGAGGGUGGUGGAAUUUCCUGUGUAGCGGUGAAAUGCGUAGAUAUAGGAAGGAACACCAGUGGCGAAGGCGACCACCUGGACUGAUACUGACACUGAGGUGCGAAAGCGUGGGGAGCAAACAGGAUUAGAUACCCCUGUAGUCCCUGUCUCUUAUAC
This 301-nucleotide ribosomal RNA is filed under the name uncultured bacterium. RNAcentral's name for it is "partial 16S ribosomal RNA". It matches the Rfam family "Bacterial small subunit ribosomal RNA", at positions 509 to 807 of the family's 1533-position model. The record is from RNAcentral.